RNAcentral lists this ribosomal RNA (253 nucleotides) under uncultured bacterium. RNAcentral describes it as "partial 16S ribosomal RNA". It matches the Rfam family "Bacterial small subunit ribosomal RNA", at positions 524 to 776 of the family's 1533-position model. The record is from RNAcentral.
UACAGAGACUGCAAGCGUUAUUCGGAUUCACUGGGCGUAAAGGGUGCGCAGGCGGCCGUGUGUGUGAGGCGUGAAAGCCCGGAGCUCAACUCCGGAAUUGCACCUCAAACUACAUGGCUAGAGCAUUGGAGAGGGAAGCGGAAUUCACGGUGUAGCAGUGAAAUGCGUAGAUAUCGUGAGGAACACCAGAGGCGAAGGCGGUUGCCUGGAGCUUUGCUGACGCUGAGGCGCGAAAGCGUGGGGAGCGAUCCGG